This 474-nucleotide ribosomal RNA is filed under the name uncultured organism. Its description in RNAcentral is "partial 16S ribosomal RNA". It matches the Rfam family "Bacterial small subunit ribosomal RNA", at positions 332 to 797 of the family's 1533-position model. The record is from RNAcentral.
UACACUCCUACGGGAGGCAGCAGUGGGGAAUUUUGGACAAUGGGCGAAAGCCUGAUCCAGCAAUGCCGCGUGAGUGAAGAAGGCCUUCGGGUUGUAAAGCUCUUUUGUCAGGGAAGAAACGGUGAAAGCUAAUAUCUUUUGCUAAUGACGGUACCUGAAGAAUAAGCACCGGCUAACUACGUGCCAGCAGCCGCGGUAAUACGUAGGGUGCAAGCGUUAAUCGGAAUUACUGGGCGUAAAGCGUGCGCAGGCGGUUUUGUAAGUCUGAUGUGAAAUCCCCGGGCUCAACCUGGGAAUUGCAUUGGAGACUGCAAGGCUAGAAUCUGGCAGAGGGGGGUAGAAUUCCACGUGUAGCAGUGAAAUGCGUAGAUAUGUGGAGGAACACCGAUGGCGAAGGCAGCCCCCUGGGUCAAGAUUGACGCUCAUGCACGAAAGCGUGGGGAGCAAACAGGAUUAGAAACCCCGGUAGUCCCA